GAUGAACGCUGGCGGCGUGCCUAAUACAUGCAAGUCGAGCGAACAGACGAGGAGCUUGCUCCUCUGACGUUAGCGGCGGACGGGUGAGUAACACGUGGAUAACCUACCUAUAAGACUGGGAUAACUUCGGGAAACCGGAGCUAAUACCGGAUAAUAUAUUGAACCGCAUGGUUCAAUAGUGAAAGACGGUUUUGCUGUCACUUAUAGAUGGAUCCGCGCCGCAUUAGCUAGUUGGUAAGGUAACGGCUUACCAAGGCAACGAUGCGUAGCCGACAUGAGAGGGUGAGCGGCCACACUGGAACGGAGACACGGUCCAGACUCCUACGGGAGGCAGCAGUAGGGAAUCUUGCGCAAUGGGCGAAAGCCUGACGGAGCAACGCCGCGUGAGUGAUGAAGGUCUUCGGAUCGUAAAACUCUGUUAUUAGGGAAGAACAAAUGUGUAAGUAACUAUGCACGUCUUGACGGUAACUAAUCAGAAAGCCACGGCUAACUACGUG
This 497-nucleotide ribosomal RNA is filed under the name uncultured bacterium. RNAcentral's name for it is "partial 16S ribosomal RNA". It matches the Rfam family "Bacterial small subunit ribosomal RNA", at positions 28 to 507 of the family's 1533-position model. The record is from RNAcentral.